Molecule: long non-coding RNA, 7434 nt
Filed under: Triticum aestivum (bread wheat)
Lineage: Eukaryota; Viridiplantae; Streptophyta; Magnoliopsida; Poales; Poaceae
Description: long non-coding RNA (TAES_LNC023549)
Source: RNAcentral
UCCGCAGCAUCGCCGGAGUGCGCGUCCAUGACCCUGUGCGGGCCGAUCAAGAAGCACAUCAUCGAGCACUUCCACCACAAGAAGCCCGUGCCGCCUAAGCCGGAGCUCAAGCCCCAGCCCCACCCGGACUACGGCCCCGUGCCCAAGCCGGAGCCGAAGCCGCAGCCCCACCCGGACUACCACCCCCCUCCCACGCCCACCUACGGCGGCGGUGGCGGCGGCGGUGGAUACCACAGGCACCACUGAGUCAGGUCUACCCCCGUCCUGCCCAGCGAUGAAAUCUCAUCAUCAGCGGGUUGGUGAUCAGUGAGUGGUCGACGGUGCUAAUUAUGAUUGGUUUGCAUGCGUGAGUAUCGUUAGGUCUUCUGCCAUUCCCGCGAAGCCCCGUUUAUUAUCUGCACUGCAGAGUUGGGAGUUCAGAAUAACAGAUGUGCGUGUGUGUGUCGCUGUGUCAGGCAAGUGUGAGGGUGUGUUGGCGUGUUGCUUUAUCAAGAUUUUGUAAUUUCAGUGUGUGUUUUGUAUAAGAAGUUAUUAUGAAUCAAGUAAUUUAAACAAGUCGAUUUGUCAACCGAACAACUGCAGCUGUUCGAGACGAUUGGCAUGAUAAGGAUAGUGUGAUUUUACUUCAACUCAAUUUUCAGAUCCGUGAACUGAAACUGAAGUGAAAUUCAGGCGUGUGCAAUGCAUUCAUACUGCUGGUCAUAGUUUUUUCUCUUACGAUGAACAAGUCGAUUUAUGAACAUUUUUCCUAGAUAAGUGAGGCUUUUAAAAAAUGUUCAUCAUGUGUUCAAAACAAUGAUAACCGUAAAUUUAAAGCAAAAUUGUUCGCCGUGUAUCUUAAAAAUGUUCAUCAUGAAUUUAAAAGGUUUGCCACUAAUUUUAAAAAGUUCAUCAUGUAUUUAUAUCACUAAUUUAGUUAUCUAAACGCUCUUAUAUUAGUUUACAGAGGGAGUAUUUAAAAGUUGUCAUCACGUAAUUAAAAAAAGGUUAAUUGUGCAUUAAUGAAAAUUUUCACCAUGUUUCAGAAAUGUUCAUCAUGUAUUAAUAAACUUAACCUUGUAUUUUUAAAAGUAAAAAAAUGCUCAUUGUGUAUUUAAAACAUAUAAAGAUAUUUUUUUGUAAAUGAACUAAAAAUAUUCAUUCUGUAUUAAAAAAAUAUUCACCAUGAAUUGUUCAAAAAAAUCACCUUGUAUUAUUCAAAAACGCUCAGACACAAAGGACAAAUGCUCAUACACGGUGUGGGGAAAAGGAGAAAAUGCAUAGAGUAAAAGAACAACAAAAGAGGAAAAAUGGACAAUGAAAAAAAAAAGGAAAGAAUGAAGAAUCCAACUAAGAAAAAAAACAGUUCAGAAGCCAAACACAAAAACCAUGCAAAAAGACGCAGCAGGAACCAGCGAACGAAACAACACCCCUAGCUGGCCUGCCCAAGUCACCUUGCUUGUGACUGUCUUCGCAUCCAUUUGACGUGUGUGCGUAUUUGCCGGAGACCUCCUAUUCCCUGACCUACGCGGGGAAAAGUGAGGAAACAUGCACCUAAACCUGUGGGUAGCCCGACCCGAGCCUGGCCCGAAAAAUCCAGGCCACGCUGGGGCCUUGUUUUGCAGCCCAAUGUACAUUUCGCCUAGGCUCGGGCUUUUGUAACAAUACUGAGAAAUAGUAUUUGGUCGGGCUUUCAAUAUUCAGGUCGGGCUUACAACUAACAACAUUGAUAAACACCAUUCGAGCUAGACUUUCGGGCUUCGGGCCUAUAUUUGGCUGAGGCUCGAGCUUGAGAAAGUGUGUACUUUCGGGAUUUGGACCAGCUGGGGCUUGAAGUUUGGGUUUCUGGCUUUUUGAAGCCCAGCCCGCCAUAUAAUCAGGUUUAAGUGCACCCCCGCCCCCCACGCGUGCUUUUGGCCGGCCCAUAUGCGGGGUGAGCCGGGCUUAUUAUUAUUAUUUUUGCUUUUGUACUUUCGUUCUUUCUCAAUUGCAAGAAAUGUUCAUAAAAUAAGCAUAUGUUUGCACAUUUCUCAAAGUGCUUCAAAUUUUCAAAAUAUUAUAUGAUUUAAAUUCUUCAUAAAUUGAAAAUUUUCUUGAAUUUCAGAAAAUGUUCAUGAAUUGUAAAAUUGUUCCCCUAGUUCACAAAUUAUUCAUGUAUUUGAAAGUCCAUGGAUUCGAAAAUUGCUCGCGAAUUUGAGAAUGGAAUAAUAGAGUGAGUAUAGCAAUUGAUAUCUAUAGAUACUUUGCGAGGUUUAUAUCAUUAAAUUUAGAAAUGAUGUCAUUAUCACGACAUGUAUUGGAUGUCCUUUUUUCACUAGUUAAUAUCCAUAAAAUAUCAUGUUAGAUGACCGAUUUUUCAUAAUAUAACAUUUAUUGUGAAUCAAAAACCAGAAAGCAAGAAUCCUGCAAAGAAAAUGUAACACAUAAUCCUAGAGAGCGCCUUACACAUCUCAUUUCUAAGUGUGUUUACUUAUAAUUUGGUAAACAUAAGUCCAAGCAAAUCAAAGAAAAUCAAAGUACAGAGAAUACCUACAUACCAUGGCCCAUUGACCGGUCCACACAAUUGACUGCUUUAAUGUGACCCAUCAAAGACACUCAGAGCUUCAAAGGUGAACUGUUCUUUGAUCCAGGCUUUGGUUGGCACCGUAAAGAAUGCAAAAUAACAGCUCAAAUAUUUGUAUCAGCAAAAGAUCAAACAACUGAAAUAAGAAGCACAGAGCACAUGAGCAAGGAACAUAAAUGUUGUUAAUAAAACAAGAAAAAAACUAAGAUACACUUGUGUCACUCGCAACUCACUAACUCAUCACAAAUUCUUCAUACGAGCAAAAUAACACUACUAGGGACAAAGCAGGGCUUCGAUUUUCUUGCACAACAGCUAACAGUUAGAGUUUUUAAUUCAUGUUUACCCAAUAAUUCUCCACAAUUCCUCACAUAGUUUCUAGUUCAACCAUUACUGGUAUGUAAAUAGACAAGAUUAGAUCGAUACUAAAAUUUGCAUUACGCUAUCGACGAAUGACGGCUCAAUUUUAUCUCCACAUAGAUGACACAAGAAUCUCAUUUGAGCAGUUGGUCACAAUGCAUACUAGCAUACUAAUGUUUCCAAUCGAACCGCAGCCAGAAACUUAGAACGACUUAUCCAACUUCUACCACCAAAUCAAAUUCAUAAUAUGAUGUUGCCUCCACGUUCCACGAUCCCGGUAGGUACAUCCAUGCACUUUCCACAUGCGAGAUGCGAUGAAGAUGUGAGAUGUGGCCAAAGAUUUGGGAUGUUGUAAACAUAUCUACGAGAUAUUUUUUUCUCUAUGUAUACCUAAUAGUUUACUAGAAGCCGCUAUCAGGAUAUUUCUGACUUUAAAAGACACACACACACAGAGAGAGAGAGAUAUACGUAUAUACUAUGGUCAUGUGAGUGUCACAAAUUAAUCCAUGAAACAUGCAAUUUUAUGUAGUCUAUUUUCUUAUGGUUAGAGGGGUUAAGUUUAAGUAUUAUUUUAUGGUGCAAUCUAUUGAAUAGAAAGAAACUAAUCAAAUUUAGCGUAGGGCGUGCAUAUAUUUUAAUGACACACAUUACAACCUAGCAGAAAAUAAUAUUAUUUAUAUUGAGCAUAAUUAUCGUAAGUAAAUAUAAAAAAGAAGUAACCGCUCGCAGUUAAUAGUGAGUUUUAAACAUGUAUAAAAGUUUAAUAUAAAUAUUCAAUUUAAUUAGACUCGAUUUCUUGUCACCGCCCUAGAUUCAUGUUUGUAAUUAGUGGCAUUGCAUCCAUGCAUCAUGUCUAAUUUUAUCAGAAAUUUGAAUUGAGGGAAUUUUCAAAACCUCAGAAACAUUUUAGAAAUUAUCAACACUAAAAUCUUCUCAAAUAAGUCCAAGAAAAUGUUCCUGUUAUUUUAUGAAAAUAUUGGAAAGAGGUAAAAUUAAAACCAGUGUUUUUGGAUUGUCAGAAAUAUUUAUUUUGGGAAUUUGAGUUAAUCUAAUAAUUAUUUGCAUUAGACUUAUAUUUAUUAUAUAUUAAAUAUUGGUCCAAAAAAUUUGAAAGUUUGUAUGAGGCUCUGGACUAGUUCCCUAAGUCCACAUAUUGAAUUUCAGAAGUUUAUAAAGUGAUUUGGUAGUUAAACCAAAUCAAACAAACAGAACAAAAUGGAAAACAAAAACAGAAAGGGAAGAACAGAGAGAGAGAGAGAGAGUUUACCUGGCAGCCCACUUACCCGGCCCAACUCCUCUAGCCGGCCCAGCCUACCUGGCUCUGCCAGUCGUCCUCUACCUCGUGCCAGAGGGCACGAGGGCGUGUGGCCGCCGCCCACGCGUACGCACCGCGCCACCUCCUGCUUGCCGCUUCGCUCUGGCCCUCUCUGGACGUCGACACGUAGCCCCCUGGUCCUCUCCCUCGCUCCCCUCGUCCUUCCCCUCCUCUGGAUCCCUCUCUCUCUCUCACCACCGAGCGGGGCUCAUCGCCACCGACGCCGUUCACCGUAGCCACCGCCUCCUCCUGAACCUCUCUCCGCGCCCAGAAGCUCCGCCACUUCGUCCUCGACCCCCUCGCUGAGCCACGCAACGCCGGACGCCCUGAAGCCUCGCCAACACCGUCGUUCCCCUCGUCGGUCACCGCGGAUCCUCGCCGUUGAUUCAGGAGCUACAGGACCUCCCCGAGCACUCUGAGCUUCUCUACAAGUCCUCCGUGAGCCCCUCUUUCCCCUACCCUAACCUCGUUGCUUCGCUCGACCUCUAGCUAGCGCUGCCGCCAUGGCCGAGCUCCGCCGCCGCCUGCCUUGUCAUGCGCCACCAUUGCAGCCCGCGCCCGUCGUUGGAGAGCAUGGCAACGAGCUCGUCGUGCCUCCAGGAGGCCGGCUAUCCCUUUUGCUAGCUCGCCCGUGCCCCGUAGCACCGCUGCCCGCUUGCGCCCGAACUCCGGCCGCCGCCCAAGUGGUCGCCGCCGUCGACCCCGGCCUCCCUGCGCCUAGCUGCAUGCACCCCUGGAUGCGGGCGAGCGAGGGCUUCCUCAUGGUGCCCUGCUACCUCUUGAGCACUGCGUUGGUUUUCCCUAGAAAAGGAAAGGGUGAUGCAGCAAAGUGGCGUAAGUAUUUCCCUCAGUUUUUGAAAACCAAGGUAUCAAUCCAGUAGGAGGCUACACACGAGUCCCUCGCACCUACACAAACGAAUAAAUCCUCGCAACCAACAUGAUAAGGGGUUGUCAAUCCCUACACGGUCACUUACGAGAGUGAGAUCUGAUAGAUAUGAUAAGAUAAUAUUUUUGGUAUUUUUGUGAUAAAGAUGCAAAGUAAAGAAAGUAAAAUAAAAACGGCGCUAGAAAUAGCUAAGUGUUGGAAGAUUAAUAUGAUGGAAAAUAGACCCGGGGGCCAUAGGUUUCACUAGUGGCUUCUCUCGAGAGCAUAAGUAUUUACGGUGGGUGAACAAAUUACUGUUGAGCAAUUGACAGAAUUGAGCAUAGUUGUGAGAAUAUCUAGGCAUGAUCAUGUAUAUAGGCAUGACGUCCGAAACAAGUAGACCGACUCCUGCCUGCAUCUACUACUAUUACUCCACACAUCGACCGCUAUCCAGCAUGCGUCUAGAGUAUUAAGUUCAUAAGAACAGAGUAACGCUUUAAGCAAGAUGACAUGAUGUAGAGGGAUAAACUCAUGCAAUAUGAUAUAAACCCCAUCUUGUUAUCCUCGAUGGCAACAAUACAUUACGUGCCUUGCUGCCCCCACUGUCACUGGAAAAGGACACCGCAAGAUUGAACCCAAAGCUAAGCACUUCUCCCAUUGCAAGAAAGAUCAAUCUAGUAGGCCAACCCAAACUGAUAAUUCGAAGAGACUUGCAAAGAUAACCAAUCAUACAUAAAAGAAUUCAGAAGAUUCAAAUAUUGUUCAUAGAUAAGCUUGAUCAUAAACCCACAAUUCAUCGGUCUCCACAAACACAUCACAAAAGAAGAUUACAUCGAAUAGAUCUCCACAAGAGAGGGGGAGAACAUUGUAUUGAGAUCGAAAAAGAGAGAAGAAGCCAUCUAGCUAAUAACUAUGGACCCGAAGGUCUGAGGUAAACUACUCACACUUCAUCGGAGAGCCUAUGGUGUUGAUGUAGAAGCCCUCCGUCAUCGAUGCCCCCUCCGGCGGAGCUCCGAAACAGGCCCCAAGAUGGGAUCUCACGAAUACAGAAGGUUGCGGCGGUGAAAUUAGGUUUUUAGCUGCGUAUCUGAUCGUUUGGGGGUACGUAGCUAUAUAUAGGAGGAAGGAGUACGUCGGUGGAGCAACGUGGGGCCCACGAGGGUGGAGGGCGCGCCCAGGGGGUAGGAGCGCCCCCUACCUCGUGGCUUCCUGGUAGCUUUCUUGACGUAGGGUCCAAGUCAUCUGGAUCAUGUUUGUUCCGAAAAUCACGUUUCCGAAGGUUUCAUUCCGUUUGGACGCCGUUUGAUAUCCUGCGAAACUCUGAAAUAGGCAAAAACAGCAAUUCUGGGCUGGGCCUCCGGUUAAUAGGUUAGUCCCAAAAAUAAUAUAAAAGUGCAUAAUAAAGCCCAAUAAUGUCCAAAACAGAAGAUAAUAUAGCAUGGAGCAAUCAAAAAUUAUAGAUACGUUGGAGACGUAUCAAGCAUCCCCAAGCUUAAUUCCUGCUCGUCCUCGAGUAGGUAAAUGAUAAAAACAGAAUUUUUGAUGUGGAAUGCUACUUGGCAUAAUUUCAAUGUAAUUUUUAUUAAUUGUGGUAUGAAUAUUCAGAUCCGAAAGAUUCAAGAUAAAAGUUCAAUAUUGACAUAAAAAUAAUAAUACUUCAAGCAUACUAACUAAGCAAUUAUGUCCGCAGCAUCGCCGGAGUGCGCGUCCAUGACCCUGUGCGGGCCGAUCAAGAAGCACAUCAUUGAGCACUUCCACCACAAGAAGCCCGUGCCGCCUAAGCCGGAGCUCAAGCCCCAGCCCCACCCGGACUACGGGCCCGUGCCCAAGCCGGAGCCGAAGCCGCAGCCCCACCCGGACUACCACCCCCCUCCCACGCCCACCUACGGCGGCGGUGGCGGCGGCGGUGGAUACCACAGGCACCACUGAGUCAGGUCUACCCCCGUCCUGCCCAGCGAUGAAAUCUCAUCAUCAGCGGGUUGGUGAUCAGUGAGUGGUCGACGGUGCUAAUUAUGAUUGGUUUGCAUGCGUGAGUAUCGUUAGGUCUUCUGCCAUUCCCGCGAAGCCCCGUUUAUUAUCUGCACUGUAGAGUUGGGAGUUCAGAAUAACAGAUGUGCGUGUGUGUGUCGCUGUGUCAGGCAAGUGUGAGGGUGUGUUGGCGUGUUGCUUUAUCAAGAUUUUGUAAUUUCAGUGUGUGUUUUGUAUAAGAAGUUAUUAUGAAUCAAGUAAUUUAAACAAGUCGAUUUGUCAACCGAACAACUGCAGCUGUUCGAGACGAUUGGCAUGAUAAGGAUAGUGUGAUUUUACUUCAACUCAAUUUUCAGAUCCGUGAACUGAAACUGAAGUGAAAUUCAG